GGGCACAUAGCGUAGGGGUUAUCGCGCUCGCUUUGCAUAUCUGCUUGGUGCGAGAGGUCUCCGGUUCAAAUCCGGAUGUGUCCA
Molecule: transfer RNA, 84 nt
Filed under: Lentinula lateritia
Lineage: Eukaryota; Fungi; Basidiomycota; Agaricomycetes; Agaricales; Omphalotaceae
Description: tRNA-Ala
Rfam family: tRNA
About the family: Transfer RNA (tRNA) molecules are approximately 80 nucleotides in length. Their secondary structure includes four short double-helical elements and three loops (D, anti-codon, and T loops).
Source: RNAcentral